GACGAACGCUGGCGGCGUGCUUAACACAUGCAAGUCGAACGGAAAGGCCCUGCUUGCAGGGUACUCGAGUGGCGAACGGGUGAGUAACACGUGGGUGAUCUGCCCUGCACUCUGGGAUAAGCCUGGGAAACUGGGUCUAAUACCGGAUAGGAGCCAUUUUUAGUGUGAUGGUUGGAAAGUUUUUUCGGUGUAGGAUGGGCUCGCGGCCUAUCUGGUUGUUGGUGGGGUAAUGGCCUACCAAGGCGGCGGCGGGGAGCCGGGCUGGGAGGGUGGACGGCCACAUUGGGGCUGGGAAAAGGCCCAGACCCCUACGGGGGGGAAGAGGGGGGAAUUUUGCACAAUGGGCGCGAGCCCGAUGCAGCGACGCCGCGGGGGGGGAGACGGGCUUCGGGUUGUAAACUCCUUUCGCGAGGGGCGGAGGUUUUUGUGACGGUACCUGGAUAAGAAGCACCGGCUAACUACGUG
RNAcentral lists this ribosomal RNA (465 nucleotides) under uncultured bacterium. RNAcentral's name for it is "partial 16S ribosomal RNA". It matches the Rfam family "Bacterial small subunit ribosomal RNA", at positions 28 to 507 of the family's 1533-position model. The record is from RNAcentral.